RNAcentral lists this transfer RNA (68 nucleotides) under Blasticotoma filiceti. Its description in RNAcentral is "tRNA-Pro". Lineage: Eukaryota; Metazoa; Arthropoda; Insecta; Hymenoptera; Blasticotomidae. The record is from RNAcentral.
CAGAAAAUAGUUUAAUAAAAAUAUUAAUUUUGGAGAUUAAAGAUAAGUAUUGAGUAACUUUUUUCUGA